RNAcentral lists this ribosomal RNA (821 nucleotides) under uncultured fungus. Its description in RNAcentral is "eukaryotic LSU rRNA". It matches the Rfam family "Eukaryotic large subunit ribosomal RNA", at positions 140 to 821 of the family's 3401-position model. Lineage: Eukaryota; Fungi. The record is from RNAcentral.
GAAUUGUAGUUUAUAGAAGCGUUUUCGGUGGCAGCCUGGGUAUAAAUCCUUUGGAAUAGGGUAUCAUAGAGGGUGAGAAUCCCGUCUUUGACUCAGUGCAUGCUACUAUGUGAUACGUUUUCAAAGAGUUGAGUUGUUUGGGAAUGCAGCUCAAAAUGGGUGGUAAAUUUCAUCUAAAGCUAAAUAUUGGCGAGAGACCGAUAGCGAACAAGUACCGUGAGGGAAAGAUGAAAAGAACUUUGAAAAGAGAGUUAAACAGUGCGUGAAAUUGUUGAAAGGGAAACGCUUGACACCAGUCAUGCGAGUGGAAAAUCAGUCUUUUGCAGUGGGGAGUUGUGGGCGUUCAGACCGCAAGGCUGGCGUUUGCUUCAUCUUUGUUGUAAGUGAUGCACUUUUUCAUUUGCAGGUCAACAUCAGUUUGCUUUGCUGGACAAAACCCCAAGGGAAGGUGGCAGCUUAGGCUGUGUUAUAGCCCUGGGGCGAUACAGUGGAGUGGACUGAGGUUUUCGCAGUGUGUGCUCUCUGGGCAAGGCUGACUGGGUGCUAUGGGAUCGUUCGGCGUACAAUGCAUGCAUUUUGCGCCGUGUCUUUUUCAUACUCGCUCAACUCGGCUCUUCCACACUUAGGAUGUUGACUUAAUGGUUUUAAUCGACCCGUCUUGAAACACGGACCAAGGAGUCUAACAUAUAUGCAAGUGUUUGGGUGGCAAACCCAUGCGCGUAAUGAAAGUGAACGUAGGUGCCAUCCGCAAGGUGCAGCAUCGACCGAUCUUGAUAUUUUUGGAUAGAUUUGAGUAAGAGCAUAUAUGCUGGGACCCGAAA